RNAcentral lists this ribosomal RNA (465 nucleotides) under Vreelandella stevensii. RNAcentral's name for it is "partial 16S ribosomal RNA". It matches the Rfam family "Bacterial small subunit ribosomal RNA", at positions 338 to 795 of the family's 1533-position model. The record is from RNAcentral. Lineage: Bacteria; Pseudomonadati; Pseudomonadota; Gammaproteobacteria; Oceanospirillales; Halomonadaceae.
CCUACGGGGGGCUGCAGUGGGGAAUAUUGGACAAUGGGGGCAACCCUGAUCCAGCCAUGCCGCGUGUGUGAAGAAGGCCCUCGGGUUGUAAAGCACUUUCAGUGAGGAAGAACGCCUGGUGGUUAAUACCCAUCAGGAAAGACAUCACUCACAGAAGAAGCACCGGCUAACUCCGUGCCAGCAGCCGCGGUAAUACGGAGGGUGCGAGCGUUAAUCGGAAUUACUGGGCGUAAAGCGCGCGUAGGUGGCUUGAUAAGCCGGUUGUGAAAGCCCCGGGCUCAACCUGGGAACUGCAUCCGGAACUGUCAAGCUAGAGUGCAGGAGAGGAAGGUAGAAUUCCCGGUGUAGCGGUGAAAUGCGUAGAGAUCGGGAGGAAUACCAGUGGCGAAGGCGGCCUUCUGGACUGACACUGACACUGAGGUGCGAAAGCGUGGGUAGCAAACAGGAUUAGAUACCCUAGUAGUC